GACGAACGCUGGCGGCAUGCCUAAUACAUGCAAGUCGAGCGAACAGAUGAAGUGCUUGCACUUCUGACGUUAGCGGCGAACGGGUGAGUAACACGUAAGGAAUCUACCUAUAAGCGGGGGAUAACACUCGGAAACGGGUGCUAAUACCGCAUAAUAUCUUCUUCCGCAUGGAAGAAGAUUGAAAGACGGCUCUGCUGUCACUUAUAGAUGACCUUGCGGUGCAUUAGUUAGUUGGUGGGGUAACGGCCUACCAAGACGGUGAUGCAUAGCCGACCUGAGAGGGUGAUCGGCCACAUGGGGACUGAGACACGGCCCAAACUCCUACGGGAGGCAGCAGUAGGGAAUCUUCCGCAAUGGGCGAAAGCCUGACGGAGCAAUGCCGCGUGAGUGAAGAAGGCCUUCGGGUCGUAAAACUCUGUUAUAAGAGAAGAACAAAUUGUAGAGUAACUGCUACAGUCUUGACGGUAUCUUAUCAGAAAGCCACGGCUAACUACGUGCCAGCCGCCGCUGUAA
RNAcentral lists this ribosomal RNA (513 nucleotides) under uncultured bacterium. RNAcentral describes it as "partial 16S ribosomal RNA". It matches the Rfam family "Bacterial small subunit ribosomal RNA", at positions 28 to 523 of the family's 1533-position model. The record is from RNAcentral.